GAAGGGUAGUUCCACAGGAGAGAAACGCGUUUGCAACGAGCGUAUGAAAACAGAACUAGGAGUCACGCUUCUUCAUCCAAGUUAUAGAUCAGGAUUGCUGAGCAUUAUAGAUCAGAUGGAAAAUCCAUUUCAAUCCAGUCCGUUCCAAUCGUGAGCAGUUCUUUUGUCAAUAGAUUUUUUUCCCCCAAAACAAAUGUGAAUAAUUUAGAAUCCAGCAUAUCAUUCAAUCGUGGGGGAC
RNAcentral lists this unclassified non-coding RNA (238 nucleotides) under Hevea brasiliensis (rubber tree). The record is from RNAcentral. Lineage: Eukaryota; Viridiplantae; Streptophyta; Magnoliopsida; Malpighiales; Euphorbiaceae.